UCAGGUCUCCCAAGUCCUGGACUGUGUUCACCCUGCCCUGCUGCUCGAACUUUUCAAUAACUGCCACUUUGAGAUGGGCUGACUUGACGUACCCUCUCCUUAAAACUGUGAAAUGUUUUUUUCAAACUGAAGGAAACUCCCAGGCCCCUGCCCACUCAUGCCAACGGUGGCUCACACACAGGUACUAGUAACAUCCCCUUUGACAAGUGAAGAAACCGAGGCUUGGCAAGGUUAAUCAGCGUGCCCAAGGUCAGCCAGCUCCCUGAAGUCUGACUCUACCAGCCUCAACCGUUACCAGGGCGGCGAUGGUCAGCAGUCACAAUUACCAGGGGCUGCAGGAGAUCGUCAAAAUCUCGCAGAGCCUACGAUGAAGAAGACACAAGAGUUUGAGAGAGAGGAAGUCACUCGCUCCAGGUCAGCCAGCCAGCAAAUUGGGGAGGUCAGCCUUCAGAGCUCUGGCAACAGACCACUGCCAUGUCACAAAUAGCUUCCCAGCUUGCGAGAGUGUCUGGUAAGGGAUGAGUGAAUGGGGGAGACGGCAGGAAACUCAGCAGCCACAAAAGGGAGAGAUGUGCAGCCUGUUCAGGAACGAACACCAGGUGGAACAAAAGCGGGGCAGAACAAGAGCAUGUGCAUCCUCUUACCACCAUGACAUUAAGGCCAUGUCUGCACCCGGACCAAGAUGGGAAGGGAGCACAGAGCUGUGACUUCAGGGAAUAGGAAGGAUGGCAACAGACAUGGGGUUCUCUAUGACUUUCCAUUUUAUCUUCCAUUUUCACAGUAAGUUUUAAAACUCUACGUCUCCAGAUUCAGCAUGAGAAGGAGAAGUUCCUUGAAUCCUCUGGGCACUGGGGACAGCCAGUCCACCCACCCUGGGUAACAAAGGGAUGUGGUCAGUCCUCACGUGAGGAGGGACUGAGUGUCCUCCAUGGACCUGCGACGUCCCGUCUGUGAGGCCCUCGCUACUUUCUGCAAAUUUCUACAUGGAUCAGAGACAGGAGAAGCAGGCACACUGAUGGUUGUCUAGCACCACGUGCCAGUUUUUGGCAGUCGGGACCACCUCGACUUCCUGUCUCCAGGCAGGGUGGGGAGGGAAUGGUCCUUAUGCCCCAGGAGAGCCUCAAGGGCUGUGCACACCCUGCAAUGCAGGCACACCCCCUUCCACCCUCUGAAUGCUCUGCCACAAACAGCCACUGCGAGCGUAAUGAAGCCCCCAAAACAGGGAGCCCUGUGACUCACCACUGCUGCUUCAGGGACAGGGACAACUGCCAGAAUUCUUAGCUCUCUUUUACAGAUGGGGAAAUUGGGACUCAGAGAGGGAUGCGAUCUCUCCAAGCUCACACAGCCAAUCUGUGGCAGGGGAAUGAGAAAGUCUGGUCUGGUCUCCUCUCCCCAUGGCUGGGGCUCUCUCUGCAGUCCCGCCCUAUGCCCAGCCUGCACCCUCACCUGCCCCUGGCUCCUGGACUGGCAACUCAAGUCGUGACACGGACACGCUUUACCGAAUUUGCCUCCACACUUUGAGCGACUCAUUAGUAUAAAAAACACGUUCCUCACCACCCUUGCCAGAAGAUUCUUGACACAACACAGUUGGGGGGUUGGCACGCUCUCUCCGUUGUUAAGUAUUUAUAUAUAGUUAGUAUUGGAAUGGUCCCCGGACACCGAUCCAAGUCUCCCGUUUUCAGAUGGGGGGCACCAGGCUUAGGGUCAGGACCCCCCUGGAACAAUUCAGUAGCACAGCUGAGACAUAAAUCCACAGAGCCUGCCCUGAACUUUCCAGCUGCUCCUUGGCAAAUGGGCCAUGGGGAAAAAAAAUAAAUAAAGGCUGCCACUUACUAAGCAUUUGCUCUGUGCCAGGCACUUUGCAUAAAUCGGUGCUAAAUCUUAUCCUAAUUCUCUCAGGGAGGCAUUUUUAUCCCCAUUUUGCAGAUGAGCAAGCUGAGGCUCAGAGAGGGCAAGCCACCUGCCCAAGGUCACAGAGCCAGGGGCUGGAAAUGGCACACAUUUCUUCCCCCACGCCAGGGUUGGCAAAUGAUAGCCCAUAGGCAAAUUGAG
RNAcentral lists this long non-coding RNA (2052 nucleotides) under Homo sapiens (human). RNAcentral's name for it is "HSALNT0098355". Lineage: Eukaryota; Metazoa; Chordata; Mammalia; Primates; Hominidae. The record is from RNAcentral.